Molecule: transfer RNA, 77 nt
Filed under: Rickettsiales bacterium
Lineage: Bacteria; Pseudomonadati; Pseudomonadota; Alphaproteobacteria; Rickettsiales
Description: tRNA-Pro
Rfam family: tRNA
About the family: Transfer RNA (tRNA) molecules are approximately 80 nucleotides in length. Their secondary structure includes four short double-helical elements and three loops (D, anti-codon, and T loops).
Source: RNAcentral
CGGGGCGUAGCGCAGCCUGGUAGCGCACUAGUAUGGGGUACUAGAGGUCGCUGGUUCAAGUCCAGUCGCCCCGACCA